AUACAGAAUGUAUUCAAGGAAGAGAUCAUGUAUACAAGGAAGAGAUCAUGUAUUCAAGGAAGAGAUCAUGUAUUCAAGGAAGAGAUCAUGUAUACAAGGAAGAGAUCAUGUGUACAAGGAAGAGAUCAUGUGUACAAGGAAGAGAUCAUGUGUACAAGGAAGAGAUCAUGUAUUCAAGGAAGAGAUCAUGUAUUCAAGGAAGAGAUCAUGUAUACAAGGAAGAGAUCAUGUGUACAAGGAAGAGAUGUGUACACGGAAGAGAUCAUGUGUACAAGGAAGAGAUGUGUACACGGAAGAGAUCAUGUGUACAAGGAAGAGAUCAUGUAUACAAGGAAGAGAUCAUGUAUACAAGGAAGAGAUCAUGUGUACAAGGAAGAGAUGUGUACACGGAAGAGAUCAUGUGUACAAGGAAGAGAUCAUGUAUACAAGGAAGAGAUCAUGUAUUCAAGGAAGAGAUCAUGUGUACAAGGAAGAGAUCAUGUAUACAAGGAAGAGAUCAUGUGUACAAGGAAGAGAUCAUGUGUACAAGGAAGAGAUCAUGUGUACAAGGAAGAGAUCAUGUAUACAAGGAAGAGAUCAUGUGUACAAGGAAGAGAUCAUGUAUACAAGGAAGAGAUCAUGUGUACAAGGAA
This is a long non-coding RNA of Oncorhynchus keta (chum salmon), 632 nucleotides long. RefSeq lists it as uncharacterized. Lineage: Eukaryota; Metazoa; Chordata; Actinopteri; Salmoniformes; Salmonidae. The record is from RefSeq and is a predicted model, not a curated record. The transcript has 3 exons.